Molecule: non-coding RNA, 63 nt
Filed under: unclassified sequences
Source: RNAcentral
CGAAAAUAGAGCAGCAGGGUGGUGGCUCCUGCGCCCGUUUCAGCGGGUUCUUCUCUGCCUCGG